CAGGCAGGCGGGCCGGUAAGUUGGUUGUGAAAUCUCCCUGGCUUAACCGGGAGGGUGCAACUGAGACUGUCGGCCUGGAGGGCAGCAGAGGAGCGUGGAAUUCCGGGUGGAGUGGUGAAAUGCGUAGAGAUCCGGAGGAACACCAGAGGCGAAAGCGGCGCUCUGGGCUGCACCUGACGCUGGACUGCGAAAGCCAGGGGAGCGAACG
RNAcentral lists this ribosomal RNA (208 nucleotides) under uncultured bacterium. Its description in RNAcentral is "partial 16S ribosomal RNA". It matches the Rfam family "Bacterial small subunit ribosomal RNA", at positions 568 to 774 of the family's 1533-position model. The record is from RNAcentral.